Long non-coding RNA from Pectinophora gossypiella (pink bollworm), 6938 nucleotides. RefSeq lists it as uncharacterized. The record is from RefSeq and is a predicted model, not a curated record. The transcript is spliced from 2 exons. Lineage: Eukaryota; Metazoa; Arthropoda; Insecta; Lepidoptera; Gelechiidae.
GGGAUAUAGUCAGGAGCUUAUGAAAUUAAGUAUUGAUAAUUUUAAUAAUUAUUUUAAUCUGGUUAUUUGUGUCGAUUUACGAAACAAUUUUAAGACUAGUAUAUCUAAAAAUGAGGAUAGAAACUAGAAGCUGAAAUGUUGGUGGCAACACUGUUGAGUGUUUCUAAAUGUUGACAGUUCUCCAUACUGUCCAAAAUUCGUGAUAAAUUUCUUUAAAAUGUGGAGCAACGUGGAGUGUAUCCCGUCUGAAGGAUGAGUUACGAAGAAGAAAAGCAGAUAGUUGGAAAAAGGCAGUUUGAAAAUAAGUUUCCUUCUUUCCGAUCUUUAGGGAUUAAUACAACACUAUGAGUUUGCAGUUAAACGCUGCGCAAAGGGUUAUAGUCUAAAAAUAUAACCAAAACAAUAUGUUUCACUUCUUGUUGUUUAUGGCUGCAUCGUUACUGAACGAUGAUCCUGCCAAUGUCAAAGUUCCGAAGAAAACUGUUUAUAAACGUAAAUAACCGGUUUUGUGUAAGAUAGAUUCUUCGAAGAGAAUGCUCGGUGGGUAGUCCACUGUUACAAAAGUUACGUAAAAGUAGGACAACACAAUGUUAUAAUGACAUCACAAAUAGGUUAGUAACACGUAGAGAGGUUAUGGAGAAGCAAACUUGAAGUAGGGUUACUCGUCCUAAAUUUUUAUAGUUUCAAGUUAUAACGUUUAAAACAAUAUGUUUAUUUACUCAAAUAGUACGAGGAACUGUCAAAAUUUAAGAACACUCGACAGUAGCGACAUCUGUUGGGAGAAAUAGGCAGUUUUUAUCUUCAUUAAAACUUUCGAUCCGUUGAAUCGAGUGCAUUAUUAAAUAUUAUUUUUAAUUUAAACAAACAAGUAUAUGGAAAUAAAAAGCUUAUUACAUUAAUUCGAGUUUAUUUAUUAAUUAUUAUUCAUACAUAUAUAUACAUACUUAAAUAGUAGAGCUGCGCCGAGUAACACUUUAGCUGAGUAAUGAGUACCUAGUUCUCGGCUCAUUUUUUUUUCAACCGAGUACUCGGCCGAGUAACUCGGUUCAAUCAAAUUCGCAUUUCGCGCGCGUAAACAAAUACAAAUAGGUUUCCUUUAUUCCCAUCUGCCCCCUUUAGGCUUGCCACCGGGGUGGUGGUUGGCACUAAUUAGGUGUUAUUAAUAUUGCUAAAUUUACAUUUUUUUAUUUAAUGUCGAGAACGACGUGAUACUGGACUUAUGAUGACCAAAUUGGAGAUGUCCUUAGAAAAGGUUCAAUACGAUCUACUCUGAACCGGCGUGCGUGUAUGAAGCGAUUGAUGAAUGUGGAGGAAGCAAGAGAAGUAUGUCAGGAUCGAAGCAAAUGGAAUUCUAUAGUCUCUGCUUACCCCGGUGGGAAAUAGGCGUGAGUUUAUGUAUGUAUGUACGACAUGAUAAUAAACCCCCGUACUAUAACUGUAAAGGGGGCAGAUGAAACGAUUAAGUGCCAUCGACCACCGGGGUGGUAAACGGCACCUAAUUAGUGCCAACCACCACCCCGGUGGCAAGCCUAAAGGGGUUAGACGGGAAUAAAGGAUAGGUUUGCGCCGGUCAAGACGUCGGCUCGCGUUGAUACACCCCUCACCCCACCCACGCCUUUCAACUACUAGUCACUUGAUUAUUUGCAAACAAACAUAUCACGUUGCGCGUCAUAGUAGAUAAAUAAUUGAAAAAGUUUGUUAUUUACCAAUGGCUGUAUAGUCGUUACUCGUUAUCAAAUAACCGAGUUAUUCGGCCGAGUACGAGUAUCAAAAAACCCGCCGAGUAUCAGACGAGUACUCGGCCCAUCUCUAUUAAAUAGCCUAUAUACGUCCCACUGCUGGGCACAGACGGGUGGGCAAAUUCCAUACAUAACCUAUACCCCGUCGGGGUAGGCUGAGACGACAGAAUUUCACUCAUCCUGACACACUUUCGCCUUGAUCAUAAUUUCUUUAAAAUUCCAAAAUAUUAAUAUACGAAAAUCCGUCCAUAUUUUUUAUUGUAGAAAGGAAAUGUAUCAUCCUUUAAUUCAAAAUGUUUUUUUUACCUAGUCAAUCAUUUAAACACAUCAUAAACAGUAUAUAUCUUCGACUAACAAUAGAGCCUUUUUGAAAAAUAUAAAUUCAAAAAUAUCUUCAUUCAGCAGGUAGCUUUAAAUCGUCAUUUGUGACAUAACGAACAUCUCAUCCGCCUAAAACUACUGCAGCUUCUCACAACCUGUACAGCCGGGGAAAAGAAGCUGCAAGAAAAACCUCUGCACAGGGCCCUAGACGUUCUUUAAAAGACCAAAAUACUGUUAUAACAUAAACAGCUUACAUACGUCCCACUGCUGGGCACAGGCCUCUCCUCAAUCAACCGGAGGGGGUAUGGAGUAUACUCCACCACGCUGCUCCACUGCGCGUUGGUGGAGGUGUUUGGACUAGUAACCCGGGACCAACGGCUUAGCGUGCCUUCCGAAGCACAGAAUCAUCUUACUUUUUCGGACAAUCAGAACGUCCCAGUGCUGGACACAGGCCUCCCAACCGGUGAGGUAUGGAGCAUACUCCACCACGUUGCGUUACAGUGUAGUCCUGUGAUUCACCGGUUUGCUUCUCAAACGGGGAGCGCGGAUUCGACCCCAGGUGGCGGACUUGCACCAAUGAGUUAUUAUUUUAUCAAGUGCAGUUUUCACUAACACAGUUGUCUCGACCAUUACAGACGGCGAUACGGCUCACCUAUCACGUUGGUCUAACAGAAAGCUCGGUGAGGUGUGGGUACUUAGUUCAUCUGCGAUGGAUGUACUUCUGACUACCCUUUUCAUCAAACUUUAAUCAUACAUUUUUGAUACAAUAAAAAUAAAUGUGAAAUCAUGUUGUAAGUAGUAUUAUUUUGUAUUUAAUAUUUUUUUUUUUAUAUAUAUAAUAUAUUUAAAAAAUAUAUGUAUAUGAUAUUUAUAUUACAAAUAUUGCAAUAUUUACAAGCAUGUCAUCCCAAGGACUAAAAACAUUCAUACUAUUGUAAAUACAUACAUACAUAAAUAGCCUAUAUACGUCCCACUGCUGGGCACAGGCCUCCCCUCAAUCAACCGGAGGGGGUAUGCAGCAUACUCCACCACGCUGCUCCAAUGCGGAUUGGUGGAGGUGUUUUUACGGCUAAUAGCCGGGACCAACGGCUUAACGUGCCCUCCGAAGCACGGAAUCAUCUUACUUUUUCAGACAAUCAGGUGAUUCAAGCCUGAAAAGUCCUUACCAAACAAAGGACAGUCUCACAAAGUGAUUUCGACAAUGUCCCCAUCGGGAAGCGAACCCGGACCUCCAGAUCGUGAGCCUAACGCUCUAACCACUAGACCACGGAGGCUGUUCUGUGAGGCUGUGUGUGAAAUUCUGAUUACUAAAGACAAAUCUAAAGCUGACAAAAAACGUUUUAUUUUUUAACUUACAUUUAUGAAUUUUAAUAAAGAAAAAAGUAAAAAAAAAGCGACAUUUUGUCACUUUCUUCUACAACGUCACAGGUUGCUUUUUCAUCUAUCUAUCUAUCUAUAUCAGCCUAAAUUUAUAUCCAAUUAUAUCGACGCUGAUAUUAUAUCCAUAUAAUAUCAGCGUCGUGGUUCACGCCGCGACUUGUGCUGAGUGAGGCCCUUUUAUCUCAGGACGUCCACCACCACCUAAUGGUCAUUUCGACAAACAUCCGUCUUGCUUUUUUGUAAUUGUUUUAGUGGAAAUUUGAUGUGAUGUUGUUGUCUUUUUUUUGUGUGUGGCGUCCUUUUAUAAUAAACUUUUUCUAUUCUAUUCUAUUCAAUUUUGGUCGUAGGCCUCUUCCAUGUUUAUCCAUUUCCGACGAUCCUGGGCUAUCGACAUCCAGCCAUAUCCUGCGUGCCGCGCGAUGUCGUCCUUCCAUCUCAUUGGUGGUCUUCCUCUCGGUCUUGUGAAUGCUUUUUCAUACAAAUGUGGGCUCAUGUCAAUGAACUUUAUUGAGAUCACAAUCAAUGUUAAUAUAUUUACAAUAAAUUACUUCAGUCUUUCCUGUUCACUCAUCGCAAUCAGUUGUUUUAUUCCAAACUCCACAGCUAGCAAUUAUCGAUACACUUCACACAUACAUUCGUAGUUACUUAUACUUAGUAGGUAUACUUACCUAUAACUGAUAGUGAACAGGAAAGACUGAAGUAAUUUAUUGUAAAUAUAUUAACAUUGAUUGUGAUCUCAAUAAAGUUCAUUGACAUGAGCCCACACAAAUAUAAUUAUAAUUUCGUGUUUUGAAUUUAGUAAAAAGCAACUGAUUUGACUAGUUGGAAAGUACCCUAUUAUUUUAACGCUAUUUGUCAUUACAGUGGGUUCUAUAUAGUCUAUGGUACGACGUACAUCGACAUAAAGUAACGUCCUUCAGUGGAGCAGCGUGGUGGAGUAUGCUCCAUACCCCCUCCGGUUGAUUGAUGGGACGCCUAUGCCCAGGACCGGGAGGUAUAUAGGCUGUUUAUGUAUGUACGUUACCCGUCCAUCAAUUGCUUAAAAUACAUUUAUUACAAAAUUCUAAAAAUAAAUUUAAAAAGUAAAUUUCAUUCCUAAAAUAAUUAUUUACGACUUUUUCCCCAAAAAGAAAAGCAUAUCAGAAAACGUGACUUUAAAAAUAUAAAUUAAAAAAAUAUCAUCUAAAAAAAAUAUAUUUAUUUAUUUAUUUAUAGCCUACAAGUUUUUGUUGUUAUUAUUUUUAAUCAAUAUUUUUUGUUAUAUUUUGUUUUUUUUUCUUUUUCAUAUAUUUAUGAACAUUUUCGUUAUUCGAUACACGACACGAUCUUUACAGCGAUCUAUUUUAGAACCUAAAAGUGAUAGUACGAAGAAAAACCUUUCAAUUUAGGUACCUAAACUGAAUAAGACUUCUGGCUACGUUCCCCAAAAACAGAUUUCACGUGAUAAUUACCUUUUUUUUAUUGCAAUGAAAUGAAAUGAAAAUUUACUGUCAUAAAUGUGGGAGGUAUAUAGAUGGAAGUGAAGCUUAUAGCGUUCAGCACAUUUAGUCACGUUGUGACAUACAAUAAUAAUUACAUAAAUAACAGAAAGAACAAUAGUAUUGCUCGGGUACAUAAUAAUUAUUCAAAUAUAUAAUGAAAUGGCAGCAGCAUAUAUAAAUAUAUAGGAUUAUUGCUACCUAUAUUGUUUCUCUUUAGUUUGAUCAGAAUAAUAAUGGAUGGAAGAUAAAAAACAAAGAUCUUUCAUCUUUUUCAUGCAUAAUGUCCGUGAAAUUAGAAGGGUAAACGAAGGCAAAACUGAACAGCGCCAUCUAUGAUUUUUUUGAGAACGUAGCCUGGAAAAAUCGUAAACUUAUGCAAUAGAUAAUAUUGUUAUGAAGGAUAUACAAUGCAUUUAUUUAAUGACUGUUUUUGUCUAUGGCAUUCCACUUUUUUUCUUUUAUUAUUGGAUGGAUUCGAAAAAAUAUACGUUUUUUUAUUAGUUUAAAUAUGUAUUCGUUAUCACAUUAGAUGAUUUGAAGUUUUUCUUUAUUAUACAGGGUGUAGAUAAUUCUUUGCUAUGUUUUAACUUUUUUUUCUAAAAAAUAUCUGUUUUGUAAUAGCAAUUUUAAGAGUAAAAUUUUCCGAUAAAAAAAUAGUUUUAAGUGCAUUUUUCCUGCAUAGUUAGUUUUAAUUUUAAUUAUUAUGUUAAUAUUAGUAAAAAAAUGUAUAUAGUUAUAAUAAUAUAUUAAGUUGCACAUAUGUGUAUAUGACGAACUAUCAAAGAAAAAUAAUAUUUAUUCCAAACACUUUAGUAAAUAUUCCAUUUUUGAAAAUAAAAGUUAAAUAUAUUAAUUAUUUUUAAGUUCUAGAUAGUUAUUGUACAUAGUAAAAUAAAGUGUAGAUUUUUUCUUAAAAAAAAUUAAAAUCAAAUGCAAUUGUAAUAUACACACUGCGCGUAUUGUAAUUAACAUACGUAGUUUUUUAAUUGAACAUAAUACAUAAAGACAAACGCUUAAAAUUGUUUAAAGGUACAAUUAAAAAAAAUAUUUUUUUUAAGAUUUUUUUUAAAUCGGCUAGAUUUUCAUACCGCCAUAUUGUUUUUAUUAUUGUUUUUAUAUUUCAUUACUCCACUACGAUUUGACAUGGCUUUUUCAUGGGUAAAAUUUUUAUCCUGUAGUCUAAUGUUCUCCCAUAUAAGUUUUGAGUUCAAUGACCAACCACAUCAACUCUUGUGUCGUGUUUAUAGUCUAACAAGAACAAUAAAAGUGAACAAUUAUCGAACAAUUUCUUUUUUUAAGGAUUUUUUGCCAUUUUACUUUGGCAACACCGAGGAUAAUAAUCACAUAGGUGAUUGCAUGAUUCCAUAAUUACUUUUUUUAUAUAUGUUUUUUUCUGGUUUUUUUUUUCAUCGAUUUAUCUGUUAGUUUUUAAUAUUAUUCCCAAACUACUUUUAGUAAUUUAAGUAUAUUUAAAUACUUAAAACUUGUAUUGUGUUCAAUGAAAAACAAAAUGGUUGUUAAUAUUGACAACAAUUUUGUAAAGAUAUUUGAAAAUCUAUUGAGAAAAACACAUUAUGAAAUUUUGAUUACUAAAUAAACAUCUAAAGGCUUAUUUAUGAAUUUUAAUAAAGAAAAAUAUAAUUUGUUCAACCCUCAUCACAAAUGCCAAAGUCUUUUAAAGAUGUUUCGAGGUACCGAACUGAGCAUAGUACCUCGUUAGCCACAAGUUGGUAGUGUGACUAGGGAUCGACGAUCCAACAGUGUUACGUUGGAAGUCGUAUAUAUGCGUCGCGCUGUGAAAACUUCGUUAGCGCGUUUCAGGACCGAUGAGCGCCAUCUGUGUUGUAUGGGAUGAACUAGCUGGUACUAGUUGGGUCCGCAACAUGUCGAUUUUUAGUUUUUCUCAAGCGAUUUUCUAAAUGUAAGAUAACAUAAGCCAUAAGAUAUCCUAGAGCCAUGUUAUCAAAGCUAGAUAAACUGUAAAUAAUAUUUUAAUAAAUUCAAUUCCAUUACGUUA